AUCUAUGGCCAUGCUACCCUGAACACGCCCAAUCCUGUCUGAUCUCGAAAGCUAAGCAGGGACGGGCCUGGUUAGUACUUGGAUGGGAGACCACCUAGGAAGACCAAAUGCCGUGGACA
Molecule: ribosomal RNA, 119 nt
Filed under: Pteropus alecto (black flying fox)
Lineage: Eukaryota; Metazoa; Chordata; Mammalia; Chiroptera; Pteropodidae
Source: RNAcentral